AGUGAACGCUGGCGGCGUGCCUAAUACAUGCAAGUCGAACGGAGUGGCGCACGGGUGAGUAAUAUAUAGCUAAUCUGCCCCUUGCUGGAGGACAACAGUUAGAAAUGACUGCUAAUACUCCAUAGCAAGGGAUGAGACUAUAUCGUAUCAGCUAGUCGGUGGGGUAACGGCCUACCGAGGCGAUGACGCGUAACUGGUCUGAGAGGAUGAUCAGGCAAAUUGGAACUGAGACACGGUUCAAACUCAUACGGGAGGCAGCAGUAGGGAAUAGUGCGCAAUGGGGGAAACCCUGACGCAGCAACGCCGCGUGGAGGAUGACACUUUUCGGAGCGUAAACUCCUUUUGUUAGGGAAGCGGUACCAACAGAAGAAGUGACGGCUAAAUACGUGCCAGCCGCCGCGGUAAUUC
RNAcentral lists this ribosomal RNA (408 nucleotides) under uncultured bacterium. RNAcentral describes it as "partial 16S ribosomal RNA". It matches the Rfam family "Bacterial small subunit ribosomal RNA", at positions 29 to 526 of the family's 1533-position model. The record is from RNAcentral.